RNAcentral lists this ribosomal RNA (279 nucleotides) under uncultured bacterium. Its description in RNAcentral is "partial 16S ribosomal RNA". It matches the Rfam family "Bacterial small subunit ribosomal RNA", at positions 506 to 784 of the family's 1533-position model. The record is from RNAcentral.
UGCCAGCCGCCGCGGUAACACGUACUGUGCGAACGUUAUUCGGAAUCACUGGGCUUAAAGGGUGCGUAGGCGGAUUCGCAGGUCAGAUGUGAAAUGUAUCGGCUCAACCGGUAAUCUGCUUUUAAUACUGCUUUUCUUGAGUAUGGUAGGGGAAGAUGGAAUUCCUGGUGUAGCGGUGGAAUGCGUAGAUAUCAGGAAGAACACCAGCGGCGAAGGCGGUCUUCUGGUCCAAUACUGACGCUGAGGUUCGAAAGCUGAGGGAGCGAACAGGAUUAGAUA